UACGGAGGGGGCGAGUGUUGUUCGGAAUCACUGGGCGUAAAGGGCGCGUAGGCGGCUUGGCCAGUCGAGUGUGAAAGCCCUUGGCUUAACCAAGGAAUGGCGCUCGAAACUACCUCGCUAGAGGGCGGGAGAGGGAAGUGGAACUCUCGGUGUAGGGGUGAAAUCUGUAGAUAUCGAGAGGAACACCGGUGGCGAAGGCGGCUUCCUGGCCCGUACCUGACGCUGAGGCGCGAAAGCGUGGGGAGCAAACAGG
This 253-nucleotide ribosomal RNA is filed under the name uncultured bacterium. Its description in RNAcentral is "partial 16S ribosomal RNA". It matches the Rfam family "Bacterial small subunit ribosomal RNA", at positions 524 to 776 of the family's 1533-position model. The record is from RNAcentral.